UUAAUUGAAACCAAAUAGAGGUGAUUUAUUGUUAAUAAUUUUAUAUAUAUAUAUAUAUAUAUAUUU
This 66-nucleotide transfer RNA is filed under the name Trichogramma chilonis. RNAcentral's name for it is "tRNA-Asn". The record is from RNAcentral. Lineage: Eukaryota; Metazoa; Arthropoda; Insecta; Hymenoptera; Trichogrammatidae.